CGUGUAGGCGGUCUUUUAAGUCUGAUGUGAAAGCCCCGGGCUCAACCCGGGAAGUGCAUUGGAAACUGGGAGACUUGAAUACGGGAGAGGGUAGUGGAAUUCCUAGUGUAGGAGUGAAAUCCGUAGAUAUUAGGAGGAACACCGGUGGCGAAGGCGGCUACCUGGACCGAUAUUGACGCUGAGACGCGAAAGCGUGGGGAGCAAACAGGAUUAGAUACCCUGGUAGUCCACGCCGUAAACGAUGAGAACUAGGUGUUGCGGGUAUUGACCCCUGCAGUGCCGCAGCUAACGCAUUAAGUUCUCCGCCUGGGAAGUACGGUCGCAAGACUAAA
This 332-nucleotide ribosomal RNA is filed under the name uncultured bacterium. Its description in RNAcentral is "bacterial SSU rRNA". It matches the Rfam family "Bacterial small subunit ribosomal RNA", at positions 568 to 898 of the family's 1533-position model. The record is from RNAcentral.